GUGGGAGGGGGCUUGCUCCCGAUUGCAGCGGGUCAGCUACAAAUAAAGUGACUGAUACACCGCUAUCGGGAGCAAGCCCCCUCCCAC
This 87-nucleotide unclassified non-coding RNA is filed under the name Pseudomonas palleroniana. Lineage: Bacteria; Pseudomonadati; Pseudomonadota; Gammaproteobacteria; Pseudomonadales; Pseudomonadaceae. The record is from RNAcentral.